GACGAACGCUGGCGGCGUGCAUAACACAUGCAAGUCGAACGGAAAGGCCCUGCUUUUGUGGGGUGCUCGAGUGGCGAACGGGUGAGUAACACGUGAGUAACCUGCCCUUGACUUUGGGAUAACUUCAGGAAACUGGGGCUAAUACCGGAUAGGAGCUCCUGCUGCAUGGUGGGGGUUGGAAAGUUUCGGCGGUUGGGGAUGGACUCGCGGCUUAUCAGCUUGUUGGUGGGGUAGUGGCUUACCAAGGCUUUGACGGGUAGCCGGCCUGAGAGGGUGACCGGCCACAUUGGGACUGAGAUACGGCCCAGACUCCUACGGGAGGCAGCAGUGGGGAAUAUUGCACAAUGGGCGGAAGCCUGAUGCAGCAACGCCGCGUGCGGGAUGACGGCCUUCGGGUUGUAAACCGCUUUCGCCUGUGACGAAGCGUGAGUGACGGUAAUGGGUGAAGAAGCACCGGCUAACUACGUG
RNAcentral lists this ribosomal RNA (468 nucleotides) under uncultured bacterium. RNAcentral describes it as "partial 16S ribosomal RNA". It matches the Rfam family "Bacterial small subunit ribosomal RNA", at positions 28 to 507 of the family's 1533-position model. The record is from RNAcentral.